Long non-coding RNA from Serinus canaria (Common canary), 245 nucleotides. RefSeq lists it as uncharacterized. Lineage: Eukaryota; Metazoa; Chordata; Aves; Passeriformes; Fringillidae. The record is from RefSeq and is a predicted model, not a curated record. The transcript is spliced from 3 exons.
AGAUGAGGUUGCUGGGAAGGCUCCUCCAUUAGAUUGGUUGAAUAAAGUUUUGAAGCCAUUGGAACCUCCUGCAGAUGUGUCUGCAGAGAGAAUUUUUCCUGCCCCUUUGCUGAUUCCUACAUGGCAGCCUGGCUCCCAUCACCGGGGUCCUCUGAGAUGGAAGAACAAAGCCACAUGGCACAAGAAACCCCAUGAGCCAAACAAAAUCCCGAAACAAAUGGUGACAGAACUGCACAAAGGGAAUG